This is a non-coding RNA of Viridibacillus arenosi FSL R5-213, 131 nucleotides long. The record is from Rfam. Lineage: Bacteria; Bacillati; Bacillota; Bacilli; Caryophanales; Caryophanaceae.
GUACCUUUUAACAGAUUGCCCAGAGAGGCAAAGAAGGGUUAUAUAGAUUCGAAAGCAAGUGCAAAAGCGCUAUGCUUAUCCUGUCAUAUCCUUCCUCAGCCUCCCUACUAAUCUAGGGAGGCUUUAUUUAU